GUUUGAUUGGCUGUUCUACAAAACCAUGUGGGUGGUAACAUUGUGUAAAAAUGUGUAUAUAAGAAACAAGAGCCUCGUCUCAUGAUUGGGGGAAACAACUGCAUCUACACUGGGGGAUUGCUAUACUCUACAUACUCCCCUAGCUAUAAUCACUAAGCUCUUUUAAGAGCUUGUUCCAGCUUCGCUCUGGAAGGAAGUGAGUUUCGGUCUGCAGUGCUUAUGGUGUCUGGAGAAGUGCUUGGAGCCCUCGGGAAGCACUAGGAGCAUCCAUCAACGGAGGUACU
Non-coding RNA from Pelobates cultripes (western spadefoot toad), 284 nucleotides. The record is from the annotation of a GenBank genome assembly. NCBI's taxonomy places the organism in Eukaryota, Metazoa, Chordata, Amphibia, Anura, Pelobatidae.